This 227-nucleotide long non-coding RNA is filed under the name Elaeis guineensis (African oil palm). RNAcentral's name for it is "long non-coding RNA (EGUI_LNC082046)". The record is from RNAcentral. Lineage: Eukaryota; Viridiplantae; Streptophyta; Magnoliopsida; Arecales; Arecaceae.
AUCGAUAUGCUAGCACCUUACAGAUCUCACUCCUCAUCCUUAGAUCUAGAUCUCUUCUUCUAGAUCUUGAAGAAAGAAAAAAUACUGCUAGAACUCUUUCAUGCAAAUCCGAUGGGAUUUGAAUCAGAUCAUCAUGAAAAGAAGAAGAACCCUUCUUCUUCUCUUCUUCUCUCUCUUUUCUCAUCUUAGAUCUGAUCACCAUCAGAUUUAGACAUUGGAUGAAGGGG